Molecule: ribosomal RNA, 504 nt
Filed under: uncultured bacterium
Lineage: Bacteria
Description: partial 16S ribosomal RNA
Rfam family: Bacterial small subunit ribosomal RNA
Source: RNAcentral
AUUGAACGCUGGCGGCAGGCCUAACACAUGCAAGUCGAACGGUAGCACAGAGAGCUUGCUCUCGGGUGACGAGUGGCGGACGGGUGAGUAAUGUCUGGGAAACUGCCCGAUGGAGGGGGAUAACUACUGGAAACGGUAGCUAAUACCGCAUAACGUCUUCGGAUCAAAGUGGGGGACCUUCGGGCCUCACACCAUCGGAUGUGCCCAGAUGGGAUUAGCUAGUAGGUGGGGUAAUGGCUCACCUAGGCGACGAUCCCUAGCUGGUCUGAGAGGAUGACCAGCCACACUGGAACUGAGCCACGGUCCAGACUCCUACGGGAGGCAGCAGUGGGGAAUAUUGCACAAUGGGCGCAAGCCUGAUGCAGCCAUGCCGCGUGUAUGAAGAAGGCCUUCGGGUUGUAAAGUACUUUCAGCGGGGAGGAAGGCGGUGAAGUUAAUAGCUUCAUCGAUUGACGUUACCCGCAGAAGAAGCACCGGCUAACUCCGUGCCAGCAGCCGCAGUAA